UUGGAAUGCCAGAUAAACAAAAAACAACUUCUUAGUGUAAAUAUGUCCCAUGCAAUAUUUGGGACAUACUUAUACUAAAAAAAAUUCAUUAUUUGUCCAACAUUCAAAUUUCACU
This 115-nucleotide microRNA precursor is filed under the name Tursiops truncatus (common bottlenose dolphin). RNAcentral describes it as "miRNA (ENSTTRG00000024806.1)". The stretch from base 29 to 80 matches the Rfam family "mir-1302 microRNA precursor family". The record is from RNAcentral. Lineage: Eukaryota; Metazoa; Chordata; Mammalia; Artiodactyla; Delphinidae.